GAUGAACGCUGGCGGCGUGCCUAAUACAUGCAAGUCGAGCGACCGGACGAGAACUUUCCUCCUCUGAUGUUUGCGGCGGACGGGUGAGUAACAUGUGGAUAACUUCUCUAUAAGACUGGGAUAACUCCGGGAACCCGGAGCUACCACCGGAUGAUUAUUUGAACCGACUGGUUCACAUGUGAACGACGGCCUUGCUGUUACCUAUUGAUGGAUCCGCGCUGGAUUAGCUAGUUGGUAUGGUAACGGCUUACCAAGGCAACGAUGCAUAGCCGGCCUGAGAGGAUGAUCAGCCACACUGGAACUGAGACACGGUACAGACUCCUACGGGAGGCAGCAGUGGGGAAUCUUCGACAAUGGGCGAAAGCCUGACGCAGCAACGCCGCGUGAGUGAUGAAGGUCUUCGGAUCGUAAAGCACUUUUGUUAGGAAAGAACAUAUUUGUAAGUAUCCGGUCGCAUGAUGACGGUACCGGAACAAAAAGCCACGGCUAACUACGUG
RNAcentral lists this ribosomal RNA (497 nucleotides) under uncultured bacterium. RNAcentral describes it as "partial 16S ribosomal RNA". It matches the Rfam family "Bacterial small subunit ribosomal RNA", at positions 28 to 507 of the family's 1533-position model. The record is from RNAcentral.